CUCAUGCAAGCCUGGUGCUGUCUAUUCCCACAUGGAAUAAAAAUAAAGAAUGAGAAAGACAGACACUUUUUGUUCUGAGGAUUUCAAGACUGACAAUUGGUUUGGGGACUCUGCUGGUUUCAAGUCUGCUAGUUAGUUCUCCGCACCAUUUCUGUGACCCAUCACUGUCACCCCAAAUAACGGCGCCUUCAGCCUGCAGAAAGUGCCUUGGGGUUUUCACUGGCAAAAAUGAAGGAAGCACAAAAAUAUUUUCAAUCAGUACUGGAACAAACUUCACAUUGCACAGCUGCAGUGAAAGUGCCGUCCCCCAGAGACCCUCCAGAAUUUGAUUAAGGAAGGUAAUCAGGAGGAGCCGAAGAGUUUCAAAUCCUGCACAAUGAGCCUCAUACACAAGCUGAAGAGCACGCAGUGUCAUCUGCAUUGAAGUAUCAGCACCUUGACUCUGCCUUGGCACACAGGCUACUCUGAAACUGGAGAUACUAUGAAAAUGAGGAGACCUAAAUCUGCACAGGAGGUGGAAUAAACCAUGGGAAAGAGAGAGGCUGAGGGUGACAAGCUUAUGCUCUCCUGCUGAAAGAUGGAGUCCACACUGGAGUGAGAGCUUUGUGGUGGGGCAGCCCCAGGAGAUGUGGCUGGCACCCACCCCUUCCUGACCCUGCUUUGGCACACUGCCCUGUUCCUCACCUCCUCCACGCCGCUGCCUGCAGUGCCCAUCGUAUGCCCAGUGGCCGGGGAGCAAGCUUUGCCACACUCCAGCCCUGCAAGCCUCCAGACUUACUGCCGUGUGUGAUCUCUGCUACCAGCCAAGGUAAAUUUACAAACCCACAAACCUCAGUUGGGAUUUUGCAUGUCCUGAUGCUUGCUUUCACACCUCUCUGGUCUCAUUGGCAGUGGCUGCGCAUCGAGGUGCACAGGAUUUCUCCUCUUGGGAAAACAGCCAAGAAAAUGUCAACUAGCAAGUACAGAGAAGCAGCAAAAGACUGUGCUUUUCAAGACAGAAGUCAGUGAGUUGGACACUGCCAAGUCUGAACCCUGUACCAAGCACACACAGAAAAAUUUGACCCAACUGCCAGCAAACUAAGAUUCCUUUGGUGUGUUCUGCUGAGAUUCCAUUACUGCCUUUAUCAUUAAGAAAAUAAUGUAAUAAAAUGAGACCUUUUCCCUGAAUGCAUUAAUAAAGAUAACUUGUUGGUCAAGCUCCAAAACCACUGGAGCCACAUUUAAUUUACUGCUUUUAUGGAUUUAGGAUUUGGUUUGCUGCUAUGUUCAGUCCACUGCAACAAUAUAAUGGGAAAUUGUAAUGGCAUGUUUAAAAGAAAGGGUUCAUAAUCUAUCACUGAAGCUUUAAAAUGUCUUGUGCAAACAUCCACAAUUAAAUGCUACCAAAAAUGGUCAUUUCACAUGGUUUCACCGCAGCUCACCAAAAGAGGAGGGGAGGAAAGACCCAAAUAAGCAUUAAUGUAGCUUUUUGUGCUAGUCACCUUCUAACAGCCUGGGGAAGAGAACUGCUAAAAGAACUGUAAAGGCUUGCAACCCCACUGCUGCUCCUCAUAUUAAGAGCAUCUGUGCAUUACUUCAUAAAAUAUCAGAUGACAUACUGCCUUAUUUCCAAUCAAUAAAAAUAACAAUAUGUUAUGCAAAGGUCCUUCUGAUGUCUUAUAAAUAGUUGUUCAGAAGGGCAUUGGCCUUUUGUCAGUGCCUAGUUCAGGUGGUGGAGACCUUUCCAUCAACCAACACAUAAAACAUAAGAAAACAAGAGCACCUGUGAAGUGCAAGGCCAUAAGCCUGACACGUUGUGACUAGGAUAAAGAUGGCACCAAAGCCAUGCAGUCCAUCAACCUCUGCACAAGAAGAGCCCAGUUUCUUAAGGGCCAGAUUCUGCACUUCUCAUACUGAGCAGGAACUACUCCAACAGCUGCCUUCAUUUGGGCUUGCUGCUGCCUUGUGCUGUGAGAAUAAUGAGGAAAGCUGCUGAGUUUUGGCUUAUUUGAAACAAAAAGGCUCUGGUGCAGACAGAGCCACCUCUUCCUCCUGCUCUGGCUUGAGAAGACGGCGACAGGACAAACUUGCUCUGCACACCACUGAGCAGGCUGCUGCUGGUGUGCCUGUGAUGUAAUCCAGCCCCGGGUGAAGAAAAAUAAAAGCUCCUGAUGGAAAAUGAACACCAAACCCACUCAGUUCCUUUGGAUUUAUUUUAAGAUUGUGGGUUUCAGUAAAGAAUGUCUGACAAAUUCUUUCAAAUUGUCCUAGGAAAUGUGCCCGUCUCUUCACUUGGGGGCAAGAGAGGAAGGAAUUUGCCAUCUUCAUUUUACCACUGUGAUUGAUUAAAUGCCUCAUAGGUAGUGCUGGACAAAGGCAUUCUGAAAUUCAGGUGGCAAAAAAAGUGCUUUGUUUAGAAAAUGUGACUGGUAUGGAGCCUUUCUCUAGCUGCAGAUUUAAACAAAUACAUUGUUUUUUAUUUGCGUUCGGCAGUUUCCAUUUGUGCAGCUUUUGCCAGAAGACUGAAGAGGUCUGUGAUAUGUAAUUUACUGCUCAGUGAUUUUAAAGAUGAAUGUUUGGACUCUCAUUGAUAUUUGAUUUUUAUUGCUCAUUUUGUUACCAGGGGAGGUUUCCACAUGUAGCUUUAUAUAAACUCGGUCUGGUUUCUUGUUCUGUCCUCAGGAUAUAGCAUGUCUUGCUUCUCUAGGAGCUUGGAAACAAUGCUCUGUUUUUCGGUCUUUUUUUUUUCUUUUUUUUUUUUUUUUCUCCUUCCAUACAGCUUAUGACUUAUACUUUCAGUGAAUUCCUUGCUGAAGGUAAGUUCUUAUUGUCAGAAUUUGUCAGUGAUGUUGGGGCUCCCCACCCUUGCAGGCGCAGUACAAGAGUCCCAGCAGCAGCUGGGCAUGGGGAACACUACUUGUUUCCAUACUUCUGGAUGCCCUAAAACCCACAUGAAGCCUGCAGGCUCAUGUUUCUGUCAUGGGAACAAGAGGAAAAUUGUCUGUGAGUGGGCCUGGGCCUCAGCAGAGAUACAGUGAAGGGCCUACUCUGGUCAGCAAGGCCCGGGUGAGACCCUGAAAGGCCCAGUCCCUCCGGGGCCCCUCCUGCCAGCUCAGCUUUAUCAUCAUACGGAUGUCGUGAAGCCCACCCCAACCAAAGUGGCUUUUGGGCAGCUCUGAUCUACCCUGGAGCACCAGGACAUGGAAGCCCUGUCAGUAAGGGCUGAGCCUGGUCCUCCUGCCUGCAGACACCUGCCUCAACGCCUGGCAAGCCAUCGGGCUUACACCAACUCAAAGCCCACUGAUAGAGGGACACUCCUGGCAACGCCCUAUGGCAGGCCCAAUAUGUGUUGUCAGAAAAGAGCCUUUUACAAAAUAUAGCAGCGGCGCUGUUAAAACAUCCCUUUGGACAGCAGCUGAGGAGUUGUAACACUCUGCUAAGGAGCAAGCAAAGCCACUUCAUUUCCUCCUCCCCUUGGAGGCGUUACAGCUCACCAGGUUCCCCGAUUGUGUUUCACCUGGGCACCUAAUCAAACAAACUCUUCAUGAAAUAAGAGCUGACUGAGCAAUAUGUCAAACUCUGCAACUCUACGUAAAAUAGAAGUUGUUUUAAAAUUAUUUGCCAAAUUAGCUCAAGUGAGCCAGAAGUACUCGCUCCUAGCCAAAGCCCUCAAUGCAAGUUUGAAAGUUGAAAUAAAACUUUUAGGGCUCUUGAAAGAACAGGAGAUGAGGGAAAUGGCAUUCAUGUUUAUUACAGAAAUGUAAUUCAUAAUCCCAGUGGUGGGAAUGCUAAUGCCUUUUGAUUGAUUACAGCGAUUUCUCUCUGAAGAAAAAAAGAUCUCCAGACCUGAGGACACUGCAAAGAGCAAAUGAAAUAUUCUGUAAUCAUGGCUAUGACUUGGGAAAGCAAUCAGGUAGAUGCUGUACCUGAAGUACCCGCGUUAAGUGCUUUUUUGUGUAGGGUUGCACUUAA
Molecule: long non-coding RNA, 3951 nt
Organism: Cygnus olor (mute swan)
Lineage: Eukaryota; Metazoa; Chordata; Aves; Anseriformes; Anatidae
Exons: 6
Source: RefSeq, a predicted model, not a curated record